RNAcentral lists this ribosomal RNA (1195 nucleotides) under Pseudokeronopsis songi. RNAcentral's name for it is "partial 28S ribosomal RNA". It matches the Rfam family "Eukaryotic large subunit ribosomal RNA", at positions 49 to 1238 of the family's 3401-position model. Lineage: Eukaryota; Ciliophora; Spirotrichea; Urostylida; Pseudokeronopsidae. The record is from RNAcentral.
AGCGGAGGAAAAGAAAUUAACUAAGAUUGCCUUAGUAACGGCGAGUGAAGUGGCAAAAGCCCAAACUGGAAAUCUUCAUGCUUCGCAUGACGAAUUGUAAUCUAAAGAGUAGAAGCUCACCUGUUGAUGUCGCAGAAGUGCCUUAGAACGGGCCGCCAGAGAGGGUGACAGCCCCGUAUGUGGUGACAUUAGCUAACGAGCUCUGCUUGAAGAGUCGGGUAGUUUUGAAUUGCUGCCCUAAGUGGGAGAUAGACUUCUUCUAAGGCUAAAUACAUGUGGGAAACCGAUAGCGAACAAGUACUGUGAAGGAAAGAUGAAAAGAACUUUGAAAAGAGAGUCAAAAGACUUGAAAUCGUUGAGAAGGAAGCGGUAGAAAAUUAUUCUCUGCGGUAGCAAAGUGUUCCACACGAGUAUUGCAGCUGUACAGUACGUCAAAGGCUUGCAGUUGUACGUGCUUGUUGGAUUGCGGAGCUCACGCAGUGAGGCAAAAUGAGGUGUUGAAUCCACAAAAGCUUCUUGGAUCUGGGACUCUGCGGAGUUCAAUCCUGGUCUGCUGGUGGGAUUAACGCCUGAGGAUGCUCUGUGCGAUUUUGCCAAAAUGGUUUUUACCGACCCGUCUUGAAACACGGACCAAGGAGUCUAACAUAUAUGCGAGUGUGCUGGUGGAGAAACCAACACGCAUAAUGAAAGUAAGAGAUGCCAAGCGCAAGCAGCAGCAUCAACCGAUGAGGUUCCUCUGGUGCCUAUUCGAGUAAGAGCAUAUCUGUUAGGACCCGAAAGAUGGUGAACUAUGCCUGAGUAGGGUGAAGCCAGGGGAAACUCUGGUGGAGGCUCGUAGCGGUUCUGACGUGCAAAUCGAUCGUCAAACUUGGGUAUAGGGGCGAAAGACUAAUCGAACCAUCUAGUAGCUGGUUCCCUCCGAAGUUUCCCUCAGGAUAGCUGGGACAACAACGCAGUUUUAUUAGGUAAAGCGAAUGAUUAGAGGUAUCUGGGGUACCUUACCCUGGACCUAUUCUCAAACUUUAAAUUGGUAAGAACCUUUGCCUUUCUUAAUUGAGGUGAGGGGGUCAAUGCGUGUCCCUAGUGGGCCAUUUUUGGUAAGCAGAACUGGCGAUGAGGGUUGCUCCUAACGCUGAGUUAAGGUGCCUAAAUGCAUGCUCAUCAGACACUACAAAGGGUGUUGGUUCAUUUAGAC